This is a long non-coding RNA of Bubalus bubalis (water buffalo), 690 nucleotides long. RefSeq lists it as uncharacterized. The record is from RefSeq and is a predicted model, not a curated record. NCBI's taxonomy places the organism in Eukaryota, Metazoa, Chordata, Mammalia, Artiodactyla, Bovidae. The transcript is spliced from 3 exons.
UGAGAGGAAAAAAAAGUUCCUGAGGUGGUGUCUUCGUACCUCCUGGAGAGCAAGUCUCGUCUCCUUUUCUCUUCCCAGCACGUGGAAGCCCCUCCCCCUACUGGUGUAGCGUCCUGCCUACAGGGGGCGCUGGGGGCCCAGAGGACUGAACUGCAGCUGGAUGGGUCCUGUUUCUUGGCAUUCAGGGUUGCGGGUUCUUUAGAGCUGAAGGAUCUGGGGACUUGGAGGGUGGGUCUUCAUUCAGUGUGGCUCUCGAACUGGUCCUGACCCCCCUGCCUCAGCAGAAGCUGUGCCCAGCGUGUGGAAGAAUAUCCGAGUCUGUUUACCCAGUUUUCUGCCAGGAAGGGGCAGGGUGGCCCUCAGUGCAGAAUGGCCCUGCACCCCUCCUCUCUCCCCAUAACCACUGCUGCCAAGCCUCUGUCGUCCAUCAGCCUCACAAACCCCACCACCCAGCCUUUGCCUGUGCUGUCCUCUGUAGCAGCACCCUCUGUUCCUGUCCUUGGGGAUGGCUGAUGGCUCAUACACCUCCUGGAUGCUCUGGCCUUCAGCACGGAGAGAUUUGUAGACACAGAAAUACAGAGACCCACAGGGAAGAAGGUCACAUGAUGAUGGAGGCAGAGACUGGAGUGAUGCGGCUCCAAGACGAGGAAUACCAAGGACUGCACCCACCAGAAGCUGGGAGAGAGGCAC